GAUGAACGCUAGCGGCAGGCCUAAUACAUGCAAGUCGAGGGGCAGCAGGAGUAGCAAUAUUCGCUGGCGACCGGCGCACGGGUGCGUAACACGUAUACAAUCUGCCUUUAACAGGGGGAUAGCCCGGAGAAAUCCGGAUUAAUACCCCAUAACAAUUUGACUGGCAUCAGUUGAAUUUAAAAGCUCCGGCGGUUAGAGAUGAGUAUGCGUCUGAUUAGUUAGUUGGGAGGUAACGGCUCACCAAGACCACGAUCAGUAGGGGAUCUGAGAGGAUUAACCCCCACACGGAUACUGAGACACGGAUCCGACUCCUACGGGAGGCAGCAGUAAGGAAUAUUGGACAAUGCCCGCAAGGGUNAUCCAGCCAUGCCGCGUGCA
RNAcentral lists this ribosomal RNA (378 nucleotides) under uncultured bacterium. RNAcentral's name for it is "bacterial SSU rRNA". It matches the Rfam family "Bacterial small subunit ribosomal RNA", at positions 28 to 405 of the family's 1533-position model. The record is from RNAcentral.